RNAcentral lists this transfer RNA (86 nucleotides) under Felis catus (domestic cat). It matches the Rfam family "tRNA". From Rfam's summary of the family: Transfer RNA (tRNA) molecules are approximately 80 nucleotides in length. Their secondary structure includes four short double-helical elements and three loops (D, anti-codon, and T loops). Further hydrogen bonds mediate the characteristic L-shaped molecular structure. tRNAs have two regions of fundamental functional importance: the anti-codon, which is responsible for specific mRNA codon recognition, and the 3' end, to which the tRNAs corresponding amino acid is attached (by aminoacyl-tRNA synthetases). tRNAs cope with the degeneracy of the genetic code in two manners: having more than one tRNA (with a specific anti-codon) for a particular amino acid; and 'wobble' base-pairing, i.e. permitting non-standard base-pairing at the 3rd anti-codon position. The record is from Rfam by way of RNAcentral. Lineage: Eukaryota; Metazoa; Chordata; Mammalia; Carnivora; Felidae.
GCCUGGGUGGCUCAGUCGGUUUAAGCAUCUGACUUUGGCUCAGGUCACCAUCUCACGGUUCGUGAGUUCAAGCCCCACGUCGGGCU